GAUGAAGAACGUAGCGAAAUGCGAUAAGUAAUGUGAAUUGCAGAAUUCAGUGAAUCAUCGAAUCUUUGAACGCACAUUGCGCCCGCCAGCAUUCUGGCAGGCAUGCCUGUUCGAGCGUCAUUUCAACCCUCGAGCCCCCCCGGGGGCCUCGGUGUUGGGGGACGGCACACCAGCCGCCCCCGAAAUGCAGUGGCGACCCCGCCGCAGCCUCCCCUGCGUAGUAGCACACACCUCGCACCGGAGCGCGGAGGCGGUCACGCCGUAAAACGCCCAACUUUCUUAGAGUUGACCUCGGAUCAGGUAGGAAUACCCGCUGAACUUAAGCAUAUCAAUAAGCGGAGGA
RNAcentral lists this unclassified non-coding RNA (343 nucleotides) under soil metagenome. RNAcentral describes it as "partial contains 5.8S ribosomal RNA, internal transcribed spacer 2, and large subunit ribosomal RNA". The stretch from base 1 to 120 matches the Rfam family "5.8S ribosomal RNA", at positions 35 to 154 of the family's 154-position model. The record is from RNAcentral.